GGGGGAAUAUUGCACAAUGGGGGAAACCCUGAUGCAGCAACGCCGCGUGAGCGAAGAAGUAUUUCGGUAUGUAAAGCUCUAUCAGCAGGGAAGAAAAUGACGGUACCUGACUAAGAAGCCCCGGCUAACUACGUGCCAGCAGCCGCGGUAAUACGUAGGGGGCAAGCGUUAUCCGGAUUUACUGGGUGUAAAGGGAGCGCAGGCGGCGAAGCAAGCCAGAGGUGAAAACCCGGGGCUCAACCCCGAGGAUUGCCUUUGGAACUGUUUUGCUUGAGUACUGGAGGGGCAGGCGGAAUUCCU
This 300-nucleotide ribosomal RNA is filed under the name uncultured Lachnospiraceae bacterium. RNAcentral describes it as "bacterial SSU rRNA". It matches the Rfam family "Bacterial small subunit ribosomal RNA", at positions 355 to 671 of the family's 1533-position model. Lineage: Bacteria; Bacillati; Bacillota; Clostridia; Lachnospirales; Lachnospiraceae. The record is from RNAcentral.